GGCGUGGUGGAACACUUGGCGGCUUCUUGUGACUUGCGAACACAAACACGUGGCAGGUUUUGUCGGAUAAUUUGCAGAAAUUCACUUCGAAAUUUGUUCAAGUAAAAUUCGGACUGAAAUUCGAUGUAACUUGCGACUGAUUGACAAGCGUUGCUGUGUUUACUUACAUGUUAAUGCAUUUUUUAGUAUUACUGCAUUCCUUAACCUCGCCCUUAAUAUGAAAGCCAUUUCUAUUUUCUAGACACGCACCUCGCAAGGAAGCUUUAUUGACUAUAUACUAAAACAAAUUGUUUUGAGUUCAGUUCACAUAGCAGUCUCUUAAUUCGAGCAACAGUUUAAUAACUAUUAUUUUUAACACUUAAAUAAUUCAAACUUAUAUAUACGAACGAAAACUGCAAACUAUAUAAAUAAAGCGUGUCAAUUUUCGACUCAUUCUCAACAUGCAGGAUACGCUGUUACAGCGAGUUAGUUUUUGGUGGCCAUGCAUGCAAAAGUGGGCCGCUUAUUUUGCUUACGAGUUACGUGGACGUAUAAUUAUUGCUGUUACAUAAACGUUCCGGUGUUCAAGAGCUACAUAUAGCCGAUAAAAAAUUGCGUGCUCAUUAUAAUCGCCGAUCACAUAGCUUUAUCACAGUCUCAAACCUUCAGACAAACAUAUCCACAUCCCUCUCCCCCCUUCGGACAUCCUAAGACAUUUUUCCUCCCUCCCCCUUCGGACAGCAAAAAUUUCCUCCGUGGGGGGGUAUGGAUCUUUUCUGGA
Non-coding RNA from Paramuricea clavata, 760 nucleotides. NCBI's taxonomy places the organism in Eukaryota, Metazoa, Cnidaria, Anthozoa, Malacalcyonacea, Plexauridae. The record is from the annotation of a GenBank genome assembly.